UUAAGCGACUAAGCGUACACGGUGGAUGCCCUGGCAGUCAGAGGCGAUGAAGGGCGUGCUAAUCUGCGAUAAGCGCCGGUAAGGUGAUAUGAACCGUUAUAACCGGCGAUACCCGAAUGGGGAAACCCAGUGUGAUUCGUCACACUAUCAUUAACUGAAUCCAUAGGUUAAUGAGGCGAACCGGGGGAACUGAAACAUCUAAGUACCCCGAGGAAAAGAAAUCAACCGAGAUUCCCCCAGUAGCGGCGAGCGAACGGGGAGGAGCCCAGAGCCUGAAUCAGCAUGUGUGUUAGUGGAAGCGUCUGGAAAGGUGCGCGAUACAGGGUGACAGCCCCGUACACAAAAGCGCAUGUGCUGUGAGCUCGAUGAGUAGGGCGGGACACGUGGUAUCCUGUCUGAAUAUGGGGGGACCAUCCUCCAAGGCUAAAUACUCCUGACUGACCGAUAGUGAACCAGUACCGUGAGGGAAAGGCGAAAAGAACCCCGGCGAGGGGAGUGAAAAAGAACCUGAAACCGUGUACGUACAAGCAGUGGGAGCACAGGUUUACCUGUGUGACUGCGUACCUUUUGUAUAAUGGGUCAGCGACUUAUAUUCUGUAGCAAGGUUAACCGAAUAGGGGAGCCGGAGGGAAACCGAGUCUUAAUUGGGCGUUAAGUUGCAGGGUAUAGACCCGAAACCCGGUGAUCUAGCCAUGGGCAGGUUGAAGGUUGGGUAACACUAACUGGAGGACCGAACCGACUAAUGUUGAAAAAUUAGCGGAUGACCUGUGGCUGGGGGUGAAAGGCCAAUCAAACCGGGAGAUAGCUGGUUCUCCCCGAAAGCUAUUUAGGUAGCGCCUCGUGAAUUCAUCUCCGGGGGUAGAGCACUGUUUCGGCUAGGGGGCCAUCCCGGCUUACCAACCCGAUGCAAACUGCGAAUACCGGAGAAUGUUAUCACGGGAGACACACGGCGGGUGCUAACGUCCGUCGUGAAGAGGGAAACAACCCAGACCGCCAGCUAAGGUCCCAAAGUCAUGGUUAAGUGGGAAACGAUGUGGGAAGGCCCAGACAGCCAGGAUGUUGGCUUAGAAGCAGCCAUCAUUUAAAGAAAGCGUAAUAGCUCACUGGUCGAGUCGGCCUGCGCGGAAGAUGUAACGGGGCUAAACCAUGCACCGAAGCUGCGGCAGCGAACGUAUCACCCAAGACAACUUUACGGAGUUGACGAUUGACGGAGCGAAGCGACGUCAAAGCGUUCAUUAAAGUCGAGUUGGCUUAGGGAUACGUUCGUUGGGUAGGGGAGCGUUCUGUAAGCCUGUGAAGGUGUGUCGUGAGGCAUGCUGGAGGUAUCAGAAGUGCGAAUGCUGACAUAAGUAACGAUAAAGCGGGUGAAAAGCCCGCUCGCCGGAAGACCAAGGGUUCCUGUCCAACGUUAAUCGGGGCAGGGUGAGUCGACCCCUAAGGCGAGGCCGAAAGGCGUAGUCGAUGGGAAACGGGUUAAUAUUCCCGUACUUGGUGUUACUGCGAAGGGGGGACGGAGAAGGCUAUGUUGGCCGGGCGACGGUUGUCCCGGUUUAAGCGUGUAGGUGUGUGUUCCAGGUAAAUCCGGUUCACUUUAACACUGAGGCGUGACGACGAGGCACUACGGUGCUGAAGCAACAAAUGCCCUGCUUCCAGGAAAAGCCUCUAAGCAUCAGGUAACACGAAAUCGUACCCCAAACCGACACAGGUGGUCAGGUAGAGAAUACCAAGGCGCUUGAGAGAACUCGGGUGAAGGAACUAGGCAAAAUGGUGCCGUAACUUCGGGAGAAGGCACGCUGACACGUAGGUGAAGUGAUUUACUCAUGGAGCUGAAGUCAGUCGAAGAUACCAGCUGGCUGCAACUGUUUAUUAAAAACACAGCACUGUGCAAACACGAAAGUGGACGUAUACGGUGUGACGCCUGCCCGGUGCCGGAAGGUUAAUUGAUGGGGUCAGCGUAAGCGAAGCUCCUGAUCGAAGCCCCGGUAAACGGCGGCCGUAACUAUAACGGUCCUAAGGUAGCGAAAUUCCUUGUCGGGUAAGUUCCGACCUGCACGAAUGGCGUAAUGAUGGCCAGGCUGUCUCCACCCGAGACUCAGUGAAAUUGAACUCGCUGUGAAGAUGCAGUGUACCCGCGGCAAGACGGAAAGACCCCGUGAACCUUUACUAUAGCUUGACACUGAACAUUGAGCCUUGAUGUGUAGGAUAGGUGGGAGGCUUUGAAGUGUGGACGCCAGUCUGCAUGGAGCCGACCUUGAAAUACCACCCUUUAAUGUUUGAUGUUCUAACGUGGACCCGUAAUCCGGGUUGCGGACAGUGUCUGGUGGGUAGUUUGACUGGGGCGGUCUCCUCCUAAAGAGUAACGGAGGAGCACGAAGGUUGGCUAAUCCUGGUCGGACAUCAGGAGGUUAGUGCAAUGGCAUAAGCCAGCUUGACUGCGAGCGUGACGGCGCGAGCAGGUGCGAAAGCAGGUCAUAGUGAUCCGGUGGUUCUGAAUGGAAGGGCCAUCGCUCAACGGAUAAAAGGUACUCCGGGGAUAACAGGCUGAUACCGCCCAAGAGUUCAUAUCGACGGCGGUGUUUGGCACCUCGAUGUCGGCUCAUCACAUCCUGGGGCUGAAGUAGGUCCCAAGGGUAUGGCUGUUCGCCAUUUAAAGUGGUACGCGAGCUGGGUUUAGAACGUCGUGAGACAGUUCGGUCCCUAUCUGCCGUGGGCGCUGGAGAACUGAGGGGGGCUGCUCCUAGUACGAGAGGACCGGAGUGGACGCAUCACUGGUGUUCGGGUUGUCAUGCCAAUGGCACUGCCCGGUAGCUAAAUGCGGAAGAGAUAAGUGCUGAAAGCAUCUAAGCACGAAACUUGCCCCGAGAUGAGUUCUCCCUGAGACUUAGAGUCUCCUGAAGGAACGUUGAAGACGACGACGUUGAUAGGCCGGGUGUGUAAGCGCAGCGAUGCGUUGAGCUAACCGGUACUAAUGAACCGUGAGGCUUAACCUU
RNAcentral lists this ribosomal RNA (2990 nucleotides) under Salmonella enterica subsp. enterica serovar Typhimurium. RNAcentral's name for it is "bacterial LSU rRNA". It matches the Rfam family "Bacterial large subunit ribosomal RNA". The record is from RNAcentral. Lineage: Bacteria; Pseudomonadati; Pseudomonadota; Gammaproteobacteria; Enterobacterales; Enterobacteriaceae.